CACGCCCACAGAACCAACAGAAAGGUUUGGCCGGCCAAGUCUUCUAGGGUUCAACCUAGCUGCUUCUCGCUUCCUUCUCAUGUUUACUCUGUGCGUAUGAACCUGAGAAGGAGAAGGGAAGCAGCCAUGUUGAAUGCUGUGGCAGAGAGAAGCCAAACUUUUCUCCCUCCCUUCACAGCAGAGCUGCUCAGAAGGCAGCCGCCGGCCGCAGUUUGUCCGUUUAUGGUCUCCCCUUCCUCCUGGGAUCAUACCUUAAAGACUGCGGCCAGCAGGUCCUUCUGAACAGCUCCGCUGCGACACCGUUCCUCCGGCUGCUGCUGUUCUCCUGGCCAGGUCUGGUCAUGAGUGGCACCGGCAGGCACUGGGGUGCGUGUGUGCAGCCAGAACAGGGCAGCGGCUGCACACGUGCACCCCAUUGUUUGCUGGUGCCGCUUGCGGCCAGACCCAGCCAGGAGAACGGCAGCAGCUGGAGAGACGGUGUCGCAGUGGAGCUGCUAAGAAGGCAGCCGAAAUCGAGCGCUGGCGGCAAGAGGAUUCUUGGCACGAAGGGCGGCCGAGCCUCGCCGUGUCACCCCACCACCAAGGUGUGAAGAUAGGGCCAUUUUCCCUUGUACCUCCCCUUUAGGCUCAGUCUGAGAGACAAGACUACCCUCAACUGGCUUGCCCUUCUGGCACAUAGAAGAGGAGAAAUGAAAGAAGUACAUUCUACGUACAGUGCUGCUUCUUAGCCUGUAACAUUGAUGCUCAGUUGGAUCACAAGACUGCAGCUGUAUUUGGCUUGUUCUUUGUGGCUGAGCCCCAUUAAGAAAGAAGGAGAUGGACAGAAAAUUCCAAAAGUAACCUUAUAAAUCAGGGGUCCUCAAACUACAGCCCACAGGCAGGAUAUGGCCUGCCAAAGCCAUUAAUCCGGCCCACGCAGGACCAUGAGGCUGCCCUGCCCACAUUGCCCUGCCCACCCGCUGGCCCCCACCCUUCGGCCGAGCACAGGACUUACCUUCAGGACCUUUGUAGGCUGGAACUAGAAGGUAAGGCCAAUGUUUUUGGCCAGCAGAAUGCUUCUGGAGGUGGGGAAGGCCAAAAAUGGGGCACGUGGAUGCCUCAGGAAGCUGGCAGAGUGCUUCUGGAGGCGGGGGAGGCACAUGGAGGCCUCCUGGGGCUUCUGCGCGUCCUGCAGAGUGCAGCAGGAGGACUGGAUUGGAGGAGGAGGGCUGCCCGCUCACCCACCCGCUGGCCAGACUAGUCUUCAAGUUUCAAAUGAAAGAGAUGUGUUACAUCUCUGAUGGAACUCUGAUCUAUCAUCUUUAAACUCCCAUAUCUCCCACCGCCGGAACAAUCCUUAUCUGAAGUGAGCUGAAGCGCCGAAACAUCCAAAGUGAGUGAUGCAAAAAAAAUCGUUGAGGCAAAAAAUCCCUCUGAUCUAUCCAAAGUAUCAUUUUUAAAACUACUAACAAAAUUGCUGUGAAAAAAAUCUUUUAAACUCCAACCAGAAUUGUUGUAUUAAAAACCCCUUAGAUCGCCUUUAAACUCCCACUGGAUUGGAUUUCAAUCCUCCACCAUUUUAAACCUAUACCUGAUUGGAAUCCUCCCACUGGAGGACCCUUCAACAUAACACAAAGGACAGCAUCAAAGACACUCAAACAAAACACAAAGGACAGCAGAAACUACGUAUGGAAGUACAGCAGAAGCUACAUGAGGAAGUAAAAGUCAGCUACUACAAAACCCUACCCUUUCAUCCUACUUUACUACUUUACUUCAUUAGUCAUUGACUAAAUGAUAGAAUUUUUAAUAUUAUUGAUUUAUUAAUUACUUGAUUAGCAAUGCUUAAUUGAUUGUCUAGCUGAUUGCCUAAUUAAUUAAUAGUUAAUAAAUAAUACUUUGAUUGAUUAGAGUUUAAUUAAUUGAUUAGAGUUUAAUUAAUUUAAUUGGUUAGAGUGACAUUGCUUGCUGAUCUAUUGUUAAAUGAUUAAUUAAUUACUGUGAAUAUUACAGCAUACAUUGAUCAGUUAGUGUUAUUGAUCAGUGUGGCAUUGAUUAGCAAUUUACUGUUUUAAUUUUUAACUGAUUAGCAUAUUUACUGUUUAACUGAUUGGUUGCAUGAUUAAUCAUCAAGCAAAUAAGAGAUCCAUCAAUUCAACAUUGGAUACCAGCAAAAUAAUAAUAAUAAUUAAUUCAACAUUGAAUACCAGCAAAUAAGAGGUACGCAACUACGCACCUACAACACAAAUCUACAAUGCCAAGAAAAAAUGCCACUGUCAAACAACCAAGCAAACAACCAAUCAAAAAGAUAGAUAUCUCUACCAAUGGCACAAUCAAAAAGAAAGACGUAUUUACCAAUGACACAAAUGACCUCUCUAAAUGCUUUCUAUGUACAGAUUUGUGCAAGGAGAUUGAGAAUACCAUGAAAUGCUACCUAUGUAAAACGUACGCCCACCACACAUGCUUGGGAUUAACAGAAAACAUAGUCCAAUUUCUAGAAACAUCCCCAAAUUCACUUACCAAGCUCUGUCCUCUAACCCAAAUUAGACAAAUUUAUUGUCAUGUUUGAUAGGUUCGACACCAUGGAAACACAGCUAUCAUCCCUUAACAACACAGAAACAACUUUACUGUCAUCCCUUAAAAACAUAGAAACACGUUUAACAUCUCUUGAAAACAAAUAUUCAACACAGAAAAGUGAACAUCCAGCAACUCAAAAUUCUAUGCCAAUUCAACAACCUCAACCACAACCAACUACCUACCCAACAAAUGACAUCUCCUUACUCAUCAAAGAUGCCAUUGAACAAGAACAAGAACGUCCCAAUGCUAUUUUAUUUGAUCUUGAGGACAACAAUGAAACUGAUGAUAUUACAAAGGUACGUAACAUCAUCAGUAACUAUCAGACACCAACCAUCUCCCCUGAGGAAAUCAUCAGUGUUUCCCUCGAUGAACCUGACUUCAAGUACGGCGACGGCUCAGUUGCUCCACGCUUCUGCAGAGUUGUUUGCAAGAAUGAGACCAGCAAAUGAAAAUUCAUAUAUACUAUCAACUCAAUUGCCAGAAGCAACACCAACUACAGUAUAACAAACUUCACUCAAGGCCUGACCUAUCCACACUACAACACAUCUACUCCUGUGAACGACGUGCUGAACUCAAAAGACACCAAGACCAGGGAGAAACUGACUACUACACUGACUGUAUUAAAAGUAAGAACGGCCCACAUCUCAACAACAACCACCCCACCACCCCAACAAGCAAUACUAGGCAUGCACACCCCUAACAUCCUCAAAAUCCACUACCACAGGCCUUAAAUGCAAGCUACUUAACACAAGAAGCCUCAUAAACAAAAUACCAGAAUUCCUCCUCUUAUUAAAUACAGCUAAAUACAGCCAACGUUGAUUGGAGCAUGUGACCGACUGGGGGAAAAAGGGGAUGGUUUUGGGAGCUUUGACUUACUGAAGGAAAACCUGGGCUUUUCAGAUUUGGGUUUUCCCAGAUGUGCCAGUUUGCCUAUUCUAGUAAAGAGAACUUUGGGAAAAGAUAAAAAUAAAAUAAAUACAGCUAUAUUUGAUAUUAUAUUUGUCUGUGAGACAUGGCUAAAUUCCUCCCUCCCAGACCCCAUUACCACGGUAAGAGACCAUCAUGUUUACCAGUCCGACUGUGAACUCCGUAGAGGAGGUGGUGUUGCUAUCUUCUAUAAAAAAUCCCUAAAUCUAAAAAAUAUUCAAGUUACACAGGAACUUGCUCUUCCUGAGACCAUCGUAUGCAAGCUCUCCCUAAACACAUUUCGCUUCUUACUUUGUUACUGAGCCCCUGAUUACAACCUUAUACAUGCUAACAAACUGACUUCACUACUAACAUGGGCAGCCUCUUCCCACACCCUCUUAUCUUUCUUGGUGACCUCAAUCUAUCUCUUAUUAAUUGGAUCCUUAAUGAAUGUACAACAGAACCAAUAUAUACAACCUUGUACAAUGCCAUUACUAAUCUGGGAUUGGAUCAACUGGUAACAAACAACACUAGAUUCAAGAACUGCCUUGAUUUCAUCUUCUGCCAUAAUUUAAACUCAAUCUAUGGUCUACAAAUAAAUGAACCCUUUUCAAA
Pantherophis guttatus is the source of this 4074-nucleotide long non-coding RNA. RefSeq lists it as uncharacterized. The record is from RefSeq and is a predicted model, not a curated record. NCBI's taxonomy places the organism in Eukaryota, Metazoa, Chordata, Lepidosauria, Squamata, Colubridae.